GCUCUUUUGGUGAUGGUUACAUAUCUUUUCAUCACAGGCCGCAUUCGCUUCUGUCUUAGACCAGCUUGUAGCCUUCCUUUGUGAACAGGGCACACUCUGAUCACAUGAGUCCUUGAAAGGGAGAACCUUUCCCAUCAUGGGAAGAAAGAGAUUCGGUGAGGGAAGGAGGGCCAGAGAGACGCCACAGGAGAAACACUCAACCCAUAGGUCCUGAUUUUGAAGGUGCAGGAAGAGGACCUUGAGCCAAGGAAUGCAAGAAGCCUCUGAGAGCUGGAAAAGGCAAGGAAGCAGAUUUUCCCCUUCAGCAUCCAGAAAGGAACCAGCCCUGCAGACACCUUGACUUUAGCCCAGUGAGACCUGUGUCGACCUGAUCUCCACAACUGUAAGACAAUAAAUUUGUAUUGUUUAAGCCA
This is a long non-coding RNA of Homo sapiens (human), 413 nucleotides long. RefSeq lists it as uncharacterized. The transcript is spliced from 2 exons. The record is from RefSeq and is a predicted model, not a curated record. NCBI's taxonomy places the organism in Eukaryota, Metazoa, Chordata, Mammalia, Primates, Hominidae.